GUCCACGCCGUAAACGAUGAGCACUAGAUAUGGGGGGUCGACCCUCUCCGUGUCGCAGCUAACGCAUUAAGUGCUCCGCCUGGGGGAGUACGGUCGCAAGAUUAAAACUCAAAGGAAUUGACGGGGGCCCGCACAAGCGGUGGAUUAUGUGGUUUAAUUCGAAGCAACGCGAAGAACCUUACCUAGGUUUGAAAUCCUGAGAAUCCUCCCGAAAAGGGGAGUGCCCUUCGGGGAAUUCAGUGACAGGUGCUGCAUGGCUGUCGU
This 264-nucleotide ribosomal RNA is filed under the name uncultured bacterium. RNAcentral's name for it is "partial 16S ribosomal RNA". It matches the Rfam family "Bacterial small subunit ribosomal RNA", at positions 793 to 1055 of the family's 1533-position model. The record is from RNAcentral.